RNAcentral lists this non-coding RNA (31 nucleotides) under Mus musculus (house mouse). Lineage: Eukaryota; Metazoa; Chordata; Mammalia; Rodentia; Muridae. The record is from RNAcentral.
UCCUAAGUACAAUCUAUCAUAGGGUCUCUCC